RNAcentral lists this long non-coding RNA (310 nucleotides) under Nicotiana benthamiana. RNAcentral's name for it is "long non-coding RNA (NBEN_LNC021780)". The record is from RNAcentral. Lineage: Eukaryota; Viridiplantae; Streptophyta; Magnoliopsida; Solanales; Solanaceae.
CAAUAACCAACUUAAUAGACAUUAACCUAUAAUUCACUCGCCUAACCUCGACCACGGACUCCCUUAGAUCCCUAUCAACCAAGAUGCCCACUCCAUUCUUACCUCUCACGACCCCAGAAUACCACAACUUAAACCGGUCUGUAUUCCUCGCCUUCGACCCUUUCAACCUAGUCUCCUGGACACAGGCUAUGUUAACCCUCCUCUUCUGAAGAACCUUCGCCAACUAAAUGGACUUACCUGUCAAAGUGCCUAUGUUCCACGACCCGAUCCUUAAUCUAUGAGCGUCCGCUACCCUCUUCCCACCCUUGCC